Ochotona curzoniae (black-lipped pika) is the source of this 160-nucleotide long non-coding RNA. RefSeq lists it as uncharacterized. The record is from RefSeq and is a predicted model, not a curated record. Lineage: Eukaryota; Metazoa; Chordata; Mammalia; Lagomorpha; Ochotonidae. The transcript is spliced from 3 exons.
AAGAGAAUAUUUACGGUUAUCACCCGCCCAAGAGAAAGAAGAAGUUAUAAACAAAAGUACAUUGCUUCGGCAAAUUAAAGAGGUUGUUACACUUAGUGACAAUGAUGAUACCCUUCAUGGAAGCUUCACCAACUCUAUGAAUAUUCCAGAGCUCGAAGAA